GUGCAUUGCUUAACAAACUGGAAAAGCUAAGAGAAGUGGCUAAGACAUGGCAUAAAAUGUUUAUCUGUAGGACAGAUAAACAUUGUUGCCCCCAUAACUGAAGUGAUAAGUUACCCCCCUGUAUCCAAUUUUCACUACGCCCCUGCUGGAAGAUGGACUGCGUUGCACUUGGGGCCAAGCAAGAGGUUGCGAAAGAGAGAAAUCGUGAGAGCGACAGAGAGAGAGAGACGUCGGUUAACAGAUAAGAGAUAAGGAGCACACCCACCUCCUUGUCCUUGAGUCCCAGCAGCAGAACCUCCUCCAUGAGCGUUAGUCGUGUUUCCUUGGAGUCGCCAUCGUCGAUAUUGUCCUCCUGGUCCUUUAGGUUGUCCAGUGCAUCCUGGUUGUCGUCCGGCGUGUUGGCAUUCAACCCACCCUCCGCCCCACCGUUUUCGCGGGGUUUCACCGAGCGACGCACCAAUCCGUCGGAGCGAUUCAUUCCGGAGAGUUGGGUUGGGUAGUCGGGAAGUUCGGAUCGAUGGAGUUUUGGAGAUGUGGGAUGCGAGCGGAGCACCUAUGUUUUUCUGCUGCUGCUCUUCUUCCUCUUUCCUCGUUUUGUGUGUGUGGCACAAUUUGCUGACUCGACGUUGGGAGUUUCACAGUGUGUGUGUGUGUCUGUUUGCGCGAGUGCGGGUGUUUGCGUUUUUCUCUGUGUACUUGUGUCUUGUGUUUUUGUGUGUUGUUGUUUUCACUGACUCUUUUGCGCCCCCUUUAUUUUGUAUUCUUUUGCACACACGCACUUUUCACACUAUCGC
Drosophila melanogaster (fruit fly) is the source of this 794-nucleotide non-coding RNA. Lineage: Eukaryota; Metazoa; Arthropoda; Insecta; Diptera; Drosophilidae. The record is from Ensembl.